GGAGGCCACCACACUCUAGACGAGGCGGUACCACCUAUGGCCCUCUCACACUCUCAAGUCUGCCACACCUACACCCCUGUCUACAGCGUCAGCUCUACUUAAUGAGGUGGAGAGUCCGUCUUCUUGAGUGCUGAAGCUGGAAAUAUCUUUAAGGAGAUGAUUGAGCCAUAAACACCGUCUUUGGCGAAACUAAUACGAAGAAAAUGAAUCUCUGUCCUUGGCUUAGACUAGAAUUAUGGAAGCAACUCCCAUACUUGAAGACAAUCAAGGUGCUGGCAGAAAUCACUUGGCAUGAACAUACAAAUUCAAGAUUUGCUGUGAUUGGAGGAAUUCAACAUGUCAAAAUAACAGUUCAAGUAGAAUGGAGUUCAGAUGUGCUGUCCUGAGCCUACAAUCCCUGCUCUUUGAAAUGCUGAGACAGGAGGAACACACAUUCAAGAUCUACUUGGGCAACUCUACUAGUGUUACCAGGAUUCAUACCGACCUCUGCUACCCCCAGGGACUCAAGAGGGCAACCUGGCUUUCCAGUUCUCUGCUUUCACAAGACACUCUACACACAGCUGAAUGCAAUGCUUUUUAUUACUUCCAAGAUGGUUUUUGUCCAAAGGUUUAACGAGACAGAUGGGAAACAUAACUUUUCAGAAUAGCAGUGUAAGGGGUGAUUUCCUACAUAACUGUCUCAACAAGACUCCAAGUGAAAGAGGAAGAAAUCUCAUCUAACUCUAGAAGGAAGAAGUUCUGCAUCGUUUGGUUAAGGUUGAUCAACUUCUUCUUUAAAGAAACAAGGCAUUAAAGAUAGAGGAGCCUUUGCUCAUGUCUGUGAGUUUCUGUUUUGAUAUCAUAAGUGUUCCCAUCAAUCCAAAUGAAUGAAUUCAUCUCAGAUCUCAGGAAAAAUUUGCCUUCAUUCGUCAUGAAAACUCUGUAACAAAAAUUAUAAAAAAUUCACAAAGCUGCUGCUGUGUGGA
This is a long non-coding RNA of Myodes glareolus (Bank vole), 965 nucleotides long. RefSeq lists it as uncharacterized. The record is from RefSeq and is a predicted model, not a curated record. Lineage: Eukaryota; Metazoa; Chordata; Mammalia; Rodentia; Cricetidae.